CUCCACCUCUGCGCCGGCGCCGCCAAAGAAGCUUGACUCUCGAUAGCUCUACUCCGUGCGUGUUUGUGUUGUACCUAUUCCUGGUCCUCACGGCCCGCUGGAACAAACUGAAAAGAUUUCAGGAUGCUCCCAAUCAGGUUUGUUGGUGUGAAAAAUACCUGCUAAAACAGUGAGUGAUCUUGGCAACAAUUUCUUCAGCAAACCAGCUUGGGCUGAAAAUAGGCAUCCUAUGCUCACGGGUGACAACCUAUUGUUCAUGCUACCAUGAGGUUGCACGGACAACUCAUAGGGUUGAUCUGUUGAUCUACAUCUUGGACAAACAACAUGCAUGAACAGUGAGCUAGAUCCACAACUUAGUAUGAAGUUGAACUGCAUUGUUUUGGGGAAAUUGUGUAGGUUUUGUAAUCAUUGAAAGUUUCUUUCUGAAACACAGAUCUUUUUAAUGAUUGUUGCAACAGUAUUCUUCUGGUUAUAGGAGUCAUAGAAUGCCACCAUUUCAAGAAUUUAAAGUUGACCGUCACCCAAAAAGCAUGAUGAUAAGGAAUUGUUUAUAACAUAUUUCCAAAUGAAAAUUAUGUAAGAGAAUGGGUAUGGGGAGAAAGAAGAAGGGAGCGAGGGAGGGAGAGAGGAAGACAGGGAGAGGGAGAGAGAGGACUAAAAAACUCUAGAGGCUAUAUUGAAAAAGUGAAAAAGGUUAAUAAUGGCUAGCCAGAUUGUAAUGAUGACAUUGAUUGUAUGCAGUGUCAAGCAGAUUACUGGGUGGACUCUCCAUGAAGGAUUUAUGGGAGACUGUGGACAAGAACAACUCGGCAUGGGAGGGCAUAGAUGGCUUACCAUUUGCAUCAUCAGAGAGAGAAUAUUUCCAUCUACAAGAUCAUAGAGCCAUCACAUGAUUGAAGAAGACUUAGCUUUUGUUUUCUAGUCUGGAUUACAAGAAUUCCAUUUAAGAAAAUGAUUUGUGUGUUUUCUUAUAAAAACAGGUGUUUAUAUAAUAUAUCAAAGCAUAAUACCAGGUCAGGGCUAUUUCAUCUUUGUGAAAUUACAUGGUAUCAGAAUUAUACAUUGUAUGCAGUUUUCAACUCUGCUUAUUCAUACUUUUUAAACCAAAGGUUAUGAAUAACUGAAAAUUAUAUGUGUGUAUAUAUAUCUUGUAUAUAUCUUAAAGUAAUUUUAUUUGCCCUUAUUAAAAAAAAACAUUGCUUAAUUAAAAUUCCCCGCCUCAUGUUUACUUAAAAUUACCAUUUAAACUUAAAUUUGAAAUUCCAUUUAUAUUUAUUUUAUUGUGGUAACUGAGUUUUGAGCUGAGCACACUACCUAGCAUAUGGUAAGCACUUAAUAAAUAUUUAUUAUGUAUGACUA
This is a long non-coding RNA of Sarcophilus harrisii (Tasmanian devil), 1359 nucleotides long. RefSeq lists it as uncharacterized. Lineage: Eukaryota; Metazoa; Chordata; Mammalia; Dasyuromorphia; Dasyuridae. The transcript is spliced from 4 exons. The record is from RefSeq and is a predicted model, not a curated record.